This is an RNA transcript of Ricinus communis (castor bean), 2157 nucleotides long. It is a transcript of the gene named membrane-bound transcription factor site-2 protease homolog, with no coding region annotated. NCBI's taxonomy places the organism in Eukaryota, Viridiplantae, Streptophyta, Magnoliopsida, Malpighiales, Euphorbiaceae. The record is from RefSeq and is a predicted model, not a curated record. The transcript has 8 exons.
AUAAUAUUAUUAGAAAUGGCAGUACGGUGAGCAGUACUAAUCUUGAGGUGAAAAACAGAUGAGAGUGAGAGUGAAGGUAGACAAUGGAGGAGGAGAGGCGUUUUAGGAGAUUUGGAAGAGCCCAAAGGCACAGGCUGUUACCUCUUCAAACUUCAGAAACUGGAAUCCCUCGUCUAUCAAACACAAUUUCAUGUUGGUUUUGCGAUUACAAAAUCACAGCCUUUAAUUCUCAGUUAUUCCGUAUUGGAAGGAGGCAUGCUCGCUUCUUCAAGCUAUGGUUUUCAAUUGGGGUCGGUUUUGCCCUCACUUCACUUUUCCUUGUCACUAUGAUUCUUGUUUGGGACUCAGGCACUGCUUUCCAUAUAUUUGGUGGUGGAAAUAGAGAGCUAAGCAAUGUUGUUCAUUCCUUGUUGUUUGGGUUUUCUCCUACAAUCUAUGCAUUUAGACUAUCAGUUACUGAUGCUGCUCUUUUGCUACUUUCUACUUUGAUUUCUGUUUCUGCCCAUGAAUUUGGCCAUGCCAUUUCUGCUGCCAGUGAGGGCAUACAGACGGAAUACAUUGCCGUUUUUAUUGCAGUCCUUUUUCCUGGUGCUCUUGCCGCUUUCAAUCAUGAGUUGCUUCAGAUUUUACCACGUUUUGCUGCCCUUCGUAUAUACUGUGCUGGAAUUUGGCAUAAUGCUGUGUGCUGUGCAGUUUGUGGACUGCUGUUAUUCCUCCUGCCCUUCAUCUUGUCUCCCUUUUACAUGCAUGGUGAAAGCCUCAUGGUUUUAAAUGUACCUUCUGCCUCUCCUUUGUCUGGUUAUUUGUCUCCUGGUGAUAUAAUCGUGUCAUUGGAUGGUAGGCGUAUUCAUAAUGAACAGGAAUGGAUGGAGAUGACUGCUCUAAUACAUCAACAGGCGCUCCCAAGUUCAAACCAUUCAGAAAAUUCCAGAGGUUCUUCCAUAGUUCAUAGUAGAAAUGGUUACUGUGUUCCUACUUCUAUGAUCGAAGAGAGCAAGAAAAUUCAUUUGGCAGAUGAUCAAUCAGCUUGCCCUGAUAAUCUGACUGAAUUUGUAGCCAUUCAAUGCUUUGGUUCUAGUCAUUUACAUGAUGCCACCUUUGAGAAUGGUCAUCUAAGCAGAAAAGAUGGUAUGCACUGCUUGGAUGCUAGGGAUGCUGUCAAACUUAAGAGAUGUGAUCGUGGAUGGGCUACAGAAAUAACUAAUGGAAGCAGCUGUUUAUGUUCCCAAGAUGAACUUUGUUUAAGCCCUGUCCAUUUUCCCGGGUUAAUAUGGGCUGAGAUCACUUAUUCAAGGCCUUACUCUCCAGAAUGCUUACUACUUGGAAAAAACUCUGUUCCUGAUUCUGAAACUGAUUUCACAGAAGAUAACUGUGGUGGGACUUUUGUUUUUGUUGGUGAAGUGAUCUCCAUGGCACACUCACUUCAGUUAACUGCUUAUCAACCUCGCUGGGCAUUCACUUUCAGUGCAUAUAUUCCAAAGGUUCUGGAAAAGAGCUUAACAUGCACAUUUCAAGUUUCUCUUACAGUUGCUCUCCUCAACAGCUUGCCGAUCAUCUUAACUCUUGGAGAAGAAUAUGCUUUUAGAAGAAAAACCCUCUGGCUGCAAGUGUUUGUUUUCGGUGCAUCUAGGAGAGGAUGUGGUACUGCGUAUCCAUGCCAUUGAAAUUUUCUACCGAGCGUAGCUGGAUGUACCAAUUUGAAGUCAAGUUGUGUAAGGGUUUUGGAAAAGAUGGUUUCUGGUCACCAAAUUUCUGAGAUUUUCAGUGUCAUGAUAAAGUGCAGUGUUGUGAGUAUUCAGGUCUAAUUUCAGCCAUGGCUGUUGUUUAUUACUGCAUUUCAUAGCUAUCUACUUUUUAAUUGGAAAAAUAUCAGAAACACUCUUCUUUUUUUUUUGUUUAUUUUUAAUCAAAUUUAUAGUAUCUUUUUCAUUUUUACUGUGUAAAAAUAUCAAAAAUAUAGUUUUUUUUUUUUUACUUUUUUAUCCUCAAAUUUAUGGGUUUGAUUGACUUUUAAUACAACUGAAAAAUAGCCGAAAACAACCAAAGAAACAAUGACUGUAAAUUUGAAAGAAAAAAGGUUAGAAAAACAGUAAAAACGAUAUAUUAUAUUUUUGUUGAUUCUGGGACAUUUUUGAAAGUUUCUUUUUUAAUUCAACA